RNAcentral lists this ribosomal RNA (312 nucleotides) under uncultured eukaryote. Its description in RNAcentral is "partial 18S ribosomal RNA". It matches the Rfam family "Eukaryotic small subunit ribosomal RNA", at positions 1470 to 1796 of the family's 1831-position model. The record is from RNAcentral.
CCCUUAGAUGUCCUGGGCCGCACGCGUGCUACACUGAUGCAUACAGCGAGCACUUCCCGGCCCCGAAAGGCGGCUGGUAAUCAGCAAUAUGCAUCGUGAUGGGGAUAGUUCUUUGGAAUUCUUGAACUUGAACGAGGAAUGCCUAGUAGGCGCACGUCAUUACCGUGCGUCGAUUAAGUCCCUGCCCUUUGUACACACCGCCCGUCGCUCCUACCGAUUCGAGUGAUCCGGUGAACCCUUUGGACCGAGGCAGCUUGCUGUUUUGGAAAAUCGAGUAAACCACGUCACUUAGAGGAGGGAGAAGUCGUAACA